UACAGAGGGGGCAAGCGUUGUUCGGAAUUACUGGGCGUAAAGAGCUCGUAGGUGGUUUGUCGCGUUGUCCGUGAAAAACUCACAACUCAAUUGUGGGCGUGCGGGCGAUACGGGCAUCACUGGAGUUCGGCAGGGGAGACUGGAAUUCCUGGUGUAGCGGUGAAAUGCGCAGAUAUCAGGAGGAACACCGGUGGCGAAGGCGGGUCUCUGGGCCGAUACUGACGCUGAGGAGCGAAAGCGUGGGGAGCGAACAGG
Molecule: ribosomal RNA, 255 nt
Filed under: uncultured bacterium
Lineage: Bacteria
Description: partial 16S ribosomal RNA
Rfam family: Bacterial small subunit ribosomal RNA
Source: RNAcentral